RNAcentral lists this ribosomal RNA (454 nucleotides) under uncultured bacterium. Its description in RNAcentral is "bacterial SSU rRNA". It matches the Rfam family "Bacterial small subunit ribosomal RNA", at positions 340 to 786 of the family's 1533-position model. The record is from RNAcentral.
UACGGAAGGCAGCAGUGGGGAAUAUUGCACAAUGGGCGCAAGCCUGAUGCAGCCAUGCCGCGUGUAUGAAGAAGGCCUUCGGGUUGUAAAGUACUUUCAGUCGUGAGGAAGGUGUUAAGGUUAAUAACCUUAGCAAUUGACGUUAGCGACAGAAGAAGCACCGGCUAACUCCGUGCCAGCAGCCGCGGUAAUACGGAGGGUGCGAGCGUUAAUCGGAAUUACUGGGCGUAAAGGGCACGCAGGCGGUUAAUUAAGUUGGAUGUGAAAUCCCCGGGCUUAACCUGGGAAUGGCAUUCAAGACUGGUUAGCUAGAGUCUUGUAGAGGGGGUAGAAUUCCAUGUGUAGCGGUGAAAUGCGUAGAGAUGUGGAGGAAUACCGGUGGCGAAGGCGGCCCCUGGGCAAAGGCUGACGCUCAUGUGCGAAAGCGUGGGGAGCGAAACAGGGAUUAGAUACC